ACAUACGACCAUAGGGUGUGGAGAACAGGGCUUCCCGUCCGCUCAGCCGUACUUAAGCCACACGCCGGUUAGUUAGUAGUAUGGUGGGUGACCACAUGCGAAUCCUGACUGUUGUAUGUU
Molecule: ribosomal RNA, 120 nt
Filed under: Penicillium oxalicum 114-2
Lineage: Eukaryota; Fungi; Ascomycota; Eurotiomycetes; Eurotiales; Aspergillaceae
Also listed under: 1 other name
Source: RNAcentral